CCGUCACCUGUAUGACCAAUUCCGUGACAGUAAGUAUUUCAACUGGUUUUGCAUUUCGGAUUAAACCCUGACCUAUCCACCUCUAUGCAUAUAACAUUCAUCAUACCAUUAAUGACAUGCUUAAGGUUCUUUCACUGCCUCGCGAUAGUGACACCCUAGAGUAAUGGGAACUUUGCAACAACCCAACUACUGCCAUGACAUGGAACUACAAUUCAGGACUGCGUAUUUGCUAUUCUGUGUUUUUGAGUGAAUAGAAGGAAAUGAUUUUGCUGAAAGGAUUUUUUAAUUGCCAUUUUAACCAGACAGUAACCCUUUUUAUUUUUACUUACAGGAAUUCUUUUGGAAGAAAAUAACACACCAGGUGUUUUUUUAGCUUUUUUGUUUUUUGAUCAUGUUCAAAGUUACUACAUCAUCUAGUGAAAUAAUUCUAUUCCAGGUACAUUCCAAAUAACAAUUAUCUAUAUAAAUCUCUUAGUUUUCUAAGCCAGCACAAAUAUAAACACCCUAUCAAAUAUUCUCAUAACAUCAACUUUAUAAGACAUGGACUAAUUUAUAAAAACCUCUUCACCUAUAUUCAAAAUAUUAACUAAUAGUAUAUUUUGUGUUUGCACAAAGGGUGAAAGAGGGUCAGAAUUACUUUUGCCACAGGGCAGCCUGAGCACAGGAAAGCUAACGAGAGACCCCUGUAGGUUGGCCGAAUGUUCCCUUGUCAUUGAGCCAGGGGUAUUGCUGGGGGAGAAACCACUCCUAGCUCUGGUCCCACAGUGACACAGACGAAGCUGUUUUGCUCUAAACCCUGUUUCCUUUUAUUCAUCUUUGCACAACUGAAUUCUGUUUGUAGCUUCCAUUGCAGAUCAAUGAGUCUGCAUGUGUCUGAGUUCCGGCCAACAGAAUGUGGAAGAAAGUGGCAUCCUCCCCUUUCAGGCUGGUUCUUAGAAACUUCCUGAUAUGUUCUCCACUGGUGUUUGGUUUUCUUUCAUUUUGUCAAGGGGAAAUAACAGAACUGAAGAGUCUGGGCUGGGUUCCUGAAAGACUGUGUGGAGCAGAGUGGCCCAUGUUUCCCAAAGGCUGGGAUGCCCUGACUAGGAAUACCUGGAGGCAUUCAUUUGGGUCAUACUACCUGUGGCUGCUCUCAGGUUGCAACACCAGAUAAUGACUUCAGUCCUAAAGUUAGCACUUCGGCUGCCUUCAAAGGAGUGAAGCACAGCACUGGAGCCCUGUGAAUGCCCAGAGGCAGAUCGGUGAAAGUGGACCAGCGGUUAUGUUCACCUUCCCACAUGGAGGCCCAUCUAACCCUAAGAAAGUCAAAAACUAUGGAGAGACACAGAGUAAAUAAAAUAGCAAGAAGCCGCUGCUUGUUGGCAGCAAGACCUUGGGUAAAUUGCCUUAUCUUUCUGGAACUGCGUUUCCUCAGAAGGAUUUAAUUAAAUGGUCUCUAGUUUCCGUUUGAACAUUGACAAUCCAUCAUCUUAUAAAAUGGCACCAUGAAGAAGGAUAAACAAGAAAGCCAUGUUCCUUCCAAGCUGAUAUGAUAGAACAUCAAAAAGCAAAACACUCUGCUUUGUUAAAUAAACAAGGUAAAAACUUGUA
This is a long non-coding RNA of Hyaena hyaena (striped hyena), 1590 nucleotides long. RefSeq lists it as uncharacterized. NCBI's taxonomy places the organism in Eukaryota, Metazoa, Chordata, Mammalia, Carnivora, Hyaenidae. The record is from RefSeq and is a predicted model, not a curated record. The transcript is spliced from 3 exons.